UCAGUUGUGAAAGUUUGCGGCUCAACCGUAAAAUUGCAGUUGAUACUGGAUAUCUUGAGUGCAGUUGAGGCAGGCGGAAUUCGUGGUGUAGCGGUGAAAUGCUUAGAUAUCACGAAGAACUCCGAUUGCGAAGGCAGCCUGCUAAGCUGCAACUGACAUUGAGGCUCGAAAGUGUGGGUAUCAAACAGGAUUAGAUACCCUGGUAGUCCACACGGUAAACGAUGAAUACUCGCUGUUUGCGAUAUACUGCAAGCGGCCAAGCGAAAGCGUUAAGUAUUCCACCUGGGGAGUACGCCGGCAACGGUGAAACUCAAAGGAAUUGACGGGGGCCCGCACAAGCGGAGGAACAUGUGGUUUAAUUCGAUGAUACGCGAGGAACCUUACCCGGGCUUAAAUUGCAGAUGAAUUACGGUGAAAGCCGUAAGCCGCAAGGCAUCUGUGAAGGUGCUGCAUGGUUGUCGUCAGCUCGUGCCGUGAGGUGUCGGCUUAAG
Molecule: ribosomal RNA, 491 nt
Filed under: uncultured bacterium
Lineage: Bacteria
Description: bacterial SSU rRNA
Rfam family: Bacterial small subunit ribosomal RNA
Source: RNAcentral